This 75-nucleotide transfer RNA is filed under the name Sulfuracidifex metallicus. RNAcentral describes it as "tRNA-Arg". It matches the Rfam family "tRNA". From Rfam's summary of the family: Transfer RNA (tRNA) molecules are approximately 80 nucleotides in length. Their secondary structure includes four short double-helical elements and three loops (D, anti-codon, and T loops). RNAcentral also lists the same sequence under 2 other names. Lineage: Archaea; Thermoproteati; Thermoproteota; Thermoprotei; Sulfolobales; Sulfolobaceae. The record is from RNAcentral.
GGACCCAUAGCUCAGCUUGGAUAGAGCGUCGGCCUGCGGAGCCGAAGGUCAGGGGUUCAAAUCCCCUUGGGUCCG